CUAAAUAUAUUAAAUAUUGAACCUAAUAUUCUUAUGGUUCCGACUUGCAGGAAACCUUAAGAAUUUCAGGGAAGAGUAUGCAUAGACAUGCGGACAUACGGAAAUGGCUCUAUCGACUCGAAGGUCUAUGGGGCUGCUUCCUGCAUGGCAAACAUCUGGCUAAAAUCAUUAUACCCUCUGCAAGAGUGUACAAACGAUCAGCAGCAGCCCCCAACCAGAAGAGGAAGAAGCAGAAGAAGUAACGACGACGUCGUUAAACAAAAGCAAAAAAAAACAAACACAAAAACAAAAACAGAAAAAAAAACGAUGCAUGCAAAAUGAAUGCGGACAUCAGAGAGACGGCGAGAGAGUGCGAAUACGGCUAAUGAAUGCGAAAUGGAACACAGAUACAAGGAAUGCAAACAAUGCAGGCACGGGGUCGCACAGGGGAUACCCUAACCGAGAGCUGGUGUUGUGCCAGGAGGGAUGCAAGGGACUAUAGGAAAACAGAGUACUUACGGUAUGUUCUUGCAAAGCCCACCCCAUGCAUGCCGCGUCAAUGUGCUCAAACGCGGUCAAAAACGCAGCAUACCUUGGGACGCAGGUAAUCUCCGCUGCCAUACAUAUCUUUAAUGAGUGCCAGCGAGUGUUCAUUCGAAAAGAAACGCUCAAUGCUGCGCCGACGCCAACGCCAACGCCAACGCAACCGGCAGGGGCAUCUCUUCACUGUUUGCCAGCGGCUUUGUGUGUGUGUGUGUGUGUGUGUAAGGGAUGGCGCGAAAUUUAAAAAAGCUGCGCUUCAAUCGCCGAUGGGCCUCGGGAUCGGGACUUGGACUUUUGCGACUGGAUUUUGUUGUUGGACGUGAUUUGUUUACGAAUCUUAACUAAAUAUGUACACACAGUGCAUUAAAUUACCACGAAAGGCGUCGUCUGUUCCAAUAUUGUGCAUUCACAAAUACGCCGGCAUACAGAAAAUCACAGCUCUGUGUACUAUGUGCACUGUGCAGGGCCCUGGGCCAGGGACAGGGACGGGCACUGGCACUGGCACUGGCACCCAGGCCAAAGCCAAAGCGCGUCAUAAUGCGAAAUGAUCGGAAAUAUCAGUGCAACAGUAUAACCGUUACGCUUCUGUGGCAGCAGCCACAAUGACUCACAGUACUCACAAAUGCACUCGUACUCGACCACACAAUCAUUUAAACCGGAUGGAAUUACAUACAUUGGAGUGUUGGGGAUUUCCAACAAAUCAAAUAAAUCAAAUAUUUUAAAAUAUUUAUCUUAAGCAUCUUAGCAUGGCCAAUGAACUGUAGACUUGAUGAAUUGGAAGUAGGAAGGAAUUCCACUCAUAAAUAAGCGGAGAUUCAAAGAGGUAACAACCAUUCAAUGGGACCAUUCGUUGGAAACAUUCAUUGACUGCCGUAAUACACGUAAACGAACACAAAUGCUUAUACAAAUUUGUAUAUAUGUAUUUACUCCACGAUUCGCUUGCAUUCAGUUGACGGCUGAGAAUGAAUCAUUCGAACAGAACGUCUAGAAACAGAUUUCCAAAUGGCAUUUGUAUACAUUUUUCUGGUGUAAUGAGCUCUCCCUCUACCACAUGGACACAGACUGAUUCUGAGAAAUAACAAUAGACUUAUUACACGCCGAAGGUUAAUCAUUCAAUGAUCAUAAUCAUUCUGGAUGGCUGCAGUUCCAAUUAGCAUGCGGGCUCGAUCUUCGAUGGCCAUCUCGGCUGAUGGCCUGAUGGGCUGAUGGCCUGGUCUGUAAGCUCGGUUUCGUUUGGCAAACAUUUCCGCAGAUCAAUUAUGAGUGGACUGUUAACGAACAAACACACACAGAAGAUAUGUAAAUAUCGGCGGUGGCUUCGUGACAAACUAGGAAGUUGAGCAAACCGAGACACACAGAAAAACUAGUUGCUAAAUUAGUGCAAAUCAUUUGCAUUGAUUAAACUUAAUUCAUAUUGGAAUGCCCAUGUAUUUGCUUUGGCCACUCGGCAGAUCUUCUCUUUUUUGGGGCAUUAGCAUUCGACGAUGACGUGAUGCCUAGACCCAGACACUCUGGGCACACUCCGGAGCCCUGCACCUGUCGCCAGAUUGGCCAAGUCUUCGUCAUAGGCCGAUCGUCCCGUCCACAAGCCACAGUUAGAAAAACGAGUUUCCAGUUUUAUUGUUUGAAAGACACCGAUAUUCAGAUAUUCAGUUUCCACUUUUUUGACCAUCUCCGCAUGCAUAUUCAUCGUAUGCCUUGUCCGUAUAUAUUUAUACGUGUGUGUAUAAUUAUAAUAAUAAUCGUUAUGGUUAUGCAUUAAUUGAAUUAGUUAUACCAUGAUUGUCACAUUAACCAAGUGUUUGCAUUUGGGAAAGUUUUCCUGGACGAGCCUCUCUCGGAUCGGAUGGUUGGUAUAAGUCCAUAUCCAUCACGGCGUCUGUUGCCUUUCGCUUUGUUCCGAACCGCCGAGAGCCUCUAUAUGGACAGUGCAGAUACAUAUUGUAUUUUCGCUAUUGGCGUUACACAAAUGUCGCCUGAUCUGUUGCCUGACACAUUUUCCACUCACUCCGAGUCCGAUUCCGAGUGCGUGUCUGUGUGUGCCGCAGCACUUAGAGAGAAAUGUAUGUGAAAAGUUUCGCUGAGGAGAAAGGCGAGGAGGAGGAUGGGAGGGAGGUCUCGGGUUAAACAUUUUUGAAAAGCAUUUUCCGUUGUCAGUUUUUUGUUCGUCGAGACAAAAAAAAUAUAGAUGUAUAUGCAUAUGUAUGUCUUGUACAUAGAAUGCUCGUAAUAUGCGUGAUUUGGUCCGCCAUGUGAACUGUUUUUUUGGUUUUGGUUUUGGUUUUGGUACCGAUCCCAAUCAAAGCUCACAUCGCGUAAGGAUGAAAUUCAAAACCCGAAAGGAGGAAAACAAAGGCCAGCGGAAUUCGGCAUUACCUGUAGAAGAAGUACUCCGGUAGUCCCGAAAAAACGCACAACAAAUAAAAUAAUGCUGAAAAGGACAAACUUUCAUUCAAAGCAAACAAUAAUCAAAGGCAUAAUGAAUGCAAAACAAAACAAAGCAAAGCAAAACAAAAAGAGAACCCAGCAAGAUGAGAUGAAGAAUAAGGAGCGAAGCGGAGCGGAAUAAAGGUGGUUGAACCCCGGCCCCGGGAGGAGGAGCUUUGCUGUGUCCCGUCCCGUACCGUACCGUCUUUGUCCUGUCCUGUCCUUGCCAGCGUAGGUAACCAAAAGUUCAAUUUUUCGUGUACAGUCCCGCCAAAGGGUUUCCGUGUCUCAGACUUGCCGUCGUUCCUCUCUAGUCUCUCAUUAACUCAACUCCUUGUCUGAACGCCACUUGACUAAGUGACGUAGCAAAUAUUUUGUGUGUCAGAGCCAUUAAUUUGCCUUUGGCUGGAAAUUUAUACGUAUGGAUUGAUAUUUGAAGUGAAUUCUACGAGUAUCAGUAGAUUAGUAAAGUGCCAGACAGAGCCUAUCACAUUCCAGUCCAGUUCCAUUUCCAUUUCGUUCCCAAGGCGGGAGGGAGAAUGAAACGCGAUCUAUGCACCGGAGGAGGAAGCUCUGCCGCUUUUAUCUUACGAGUGUGUGCACGCCGUACGCCGAAUGCCGUACGCUCAGUUUCAACACAUGCCGGGUACGGCUCCCGCUCCGUGUCCGGGGGCUGACCACUUGUGUGUGUGGGGGCAGGCCAGACUUAUCGCACCUUCGAUCUGAAGUGUAAAUACAACCGAACCGAACCGAACUGAACCGAAACGAAAGGAAGCCCCCUCCAAUGGUGCCCACCAAUGUUUAUGGUAAUGGCAAUAAAAUAUAUGAAAUUAAAUUUAAAAUAGUUGAC
Molecule: small RNA, 3799 nt
Filed under: Drosophila pseudoobscura pseudoobscura
Lineage: Eukaryota; Metazoa; Arthropoda; Insecta; Diptera; Drosophilidae
Description: GA32926
Source: RNAcentral